CAGGAGCUGUUCAAAUCUGCCAUUUCCAGGAAAGAAAUGGUAAUGCGCUGCACCCAGUCAUGAUAUUUGCGACGGGGAAGUUGGAGUGACUCUCUGUCUGAUUGAAAGCUGUCAGCACAUCUUCGUGCCUUUUGGCCACAAUGAGUUGAUGACGAAGGAGACAGAGAUGCUAUCAGUGAGAAGAGAAACAUGCACUAAUCCCGGAGUUUAUUUAUUCAUCGCUAGCAGUCACAGACCACCCUUCAGGGGGUACCGGUACCCAGAGGCGGCCAGUAACUAAGUACAUUUACUUAAGUAUUGUACUUAAGUACACUUUUUGAGUAUCGGUACUUUACUCGAGUAUUAUUU
Molecule: long non-coding RNA, 348 nt
Filed under: Sinocyclocheilus grahami
Lineage: Eukaryota; Metazoa; Chordata; Actinopteri; Cypriniformes; Cyprinidae
Description: lncRNA (ENSSGRG00000008046.1)
Source: RNAcentral